UAGGGAAUCUUCCGGCAAUGGACGAAAGUCUGACCGAGCAACGCCGCGUGAGUGAAGAAGGUUUUCGGAUCGUAAAACUCUGUUGGUAGAGAAGAACGUUGGUGAGAGUGGAAAGCUCAUCAAGUGACGGUAACUACCCAGAAAGGGCGGCUAACUACGUGCAAG
Molecule: ribosomal RNA, 165 nt
Filed under: uncultured bacterium
Lineage: Bacteria
Description: partial 16S rRNA
Rfam family: Bacterial small subunit ribosomal RNA
Source: RNAcentral